UACGUAGGUGGCAAGCGUUGUCCGGAAUUAUUGGGCGUAAAGCGCGCGCAGGUGGUUCCUUAAGUCUGAUGUGAAAGCCCACGGCUCAACCGUGGAAGGUCAUUGGAAACUGAAAGGCUUGAGUACAGAAGAGGAAAGCGGAAUUCCACGUGUAGCGGUGAAAUGCGUAGAGAUGUGGAGGAACACCAGUGGCGAAGGCGGCUCACUGGCCCGGUACUGACGCUGAGGUGCGAAAGCGUGGGGAGCAAACAGG
This 253-nucleotide ribosomal RNA is filed under the name uncultured bacterium. Its description in RNAcentral is "partial 16S ribosomal RNA". It matches the Rfam family "Bacterial small subunit ribosomal RNA", at positions 524 to 776 of the family's 1533-position model. The record is from RNAcentral.